AUACGGAGGGUCCGAGCGUUAUCCGGAAUCAUUGGGUUUAAAGGGUCCGUAGGCGGGAAUCUAAGUCAGUGGUGAAAUCUUGCAGCUCAACUGUAAAAUUGCCAUUGAUACUGGAUUUCUUGAAUUAGUGUGAAGUGGUUAGCAUGUGUAGUGUAGCGGUGAAAUGCAUAGAUAUUACACAGAAUACCAAUUACGAAAGCAGAUCACUAACACUAUAUUGACGCUAAGGGACGAAAGCGUGGGGAGCGAACAGGAUUAGAAACCCCGGUAGUCC
Molecule: ribosomal RNA, 274 nt
Filed under: uncultured bacterium
Lineage: Bacteria
Description: partial 16S ribosomal RNA
Rfam family: Bacterial small subunit ribosomal RNA
Source: RNAcentral